AUCAUCCAACGAAGCGGCGGAAAGAAUAUAAAACGAAAAACUUCGGUUCAUUUUUCACGAUCCUUUCUGAUUUUGCUUUGAUUCUUUGCUAAAAAACAAAUUGGGAAAGUUCUAUUUUUCAACGCAGCGCUUCAAAAAUAUAUACGCACAAAGGCAAUACAAAUAUUAAGUGUUGUGAUUUUACUUAUCAUAUAAAAUAAAGCAAUUGACGCAUAAAUAAGUUCAUAAAUAAAAAGAAAUUUAAAAGAAAAUAUGGAGACCCCAAAUGAAUUUCCUGUACCAUCUGGAUCCAGUGGAACUGCUUCCAAUGAUUUUCCUGUUUUACCCCCGCCUCCGAAUUCUGCUACUCCCAGCAAUAAUAAUCAAGCACAAAAGCGUCUACAACAAACUCAGGCAAAAGUCGAUGAAGUCGUCGGUAUUAUGCGCGUCAAUGUAGAGAAGGUGCUGGAACGUGAUCAAAAAUUAUCGGAAUUGGGCGAAAGAGCUGAUGCUCUAGAAGCUGGUGCCUCACAAUUCGAACAACAAGCUGGCAAAUUGAAACGUAAACAAUGGUGGGCAAAUAUGAAAAUGAUGAUCAUUAUGGGUGUAAUCGGUGUGAUUCUCUUAAUUAUCAUUAUCGUUAUGCUCUUUUAUUAACUGGUAACCACUUACCAUUUGAAGUCUAAUGAUCAGCAUUUUAAGUAUAUUCACUAUACAUAUAUGUAUGUACUUUCUAAGUUUGUUUGUUUGUGUGUGUGUAAUGUUUAUAGUUUCAAAUAACUUAAAAUUUCCAAAAAAAAGAAAAAAAAAUGCUAAAUAUUAUUUAAGUAAGUCCAAAGUAAAUAUUUGCGCCAGCACAACAUAUCCGCAAGCCAUUCCGUUCAAAAGAAUUUCCUUCCUGCCAUCCAGCAGCACUGAUACACACAAUCAAGUCGAAAACACUAAAGCCCCGUAAACAGUUCAGAUGACGACAGCGGCCUUACAACGGUUCCUUGCUGUGUUGAUUGCACGCAUUUAAAGUGAAUCUUGUUUUUUUUUUACAGAAAUAUAUGCACAAAAUGCCAGCAAACAAUAAACGAUAUGCAUUGAAUCGAAUUUUUCAAAAUUUAAAAAAAAAAGAAAACAA
Molecule: RNA transcript, 1105 nt
Organism: Ceratitis capitata (Mediterranean fruit fly)
Lineage: Eukaryota; Metazoa; Arthropoda; Insecta; Diptera; Tephritidae
Gene: Syb
Gene name: synaptobrevin
Exons: 5
Source: RefSeq, a predicted model, not a curated record